ACCUGAAGGGUAGCUCCAAGGCAGAGCAUCUGCUUUGCAUGCAGAAAGACCUGGUUCCAAUCCCCAGAAGCAUCUUUAGGUA
Non-coding RNA from Podarcis lilfordi (Lilford's wall lizard), 82 nucleotides. The record is from the annotation of a GenBank genome assembly. Lineage: Eukaryota; Metazoa; Chordata; Lepidosauria; Squamata; Lacertidae.